This 220-nucleotide unclassified non-coding RNA is filed under the name Hevea brasiliensis (rubber tree). Lineage: Eukaryota; Viridiplantae; Streptophyta; Magnoliopsida; Malpighiales; Euphorbiaceae. The record is from RNAcentral.
AUUGUGAUUUGGUGGGCUGGUCUUAUGAGAGGUGCAGUGUCAAUGGCUCUUGCAUAUAACAAGGUAGACUAUAGACAACUCACGAAGUUGGCUUAAUAUUCAUUCACAUAUCAAAGAGAGGUUAUUAAGAUUGAGAUGUCUAGGAAAGAAGUUGCUUUCUGUCCUCAUUGAUUGACACUAAUGAGUAUUAUCAUUUUAUAAUUUCAUGUUAUAUAAACGC